This 2101-nucleotide unclassified non-coding RNA is filed under the name Daphnia pulicaria. RNAcentral describes it as "aldehyde dehydrogenase family 3 member B1-like, transcript variant X6". Lineage: Eukaryota; Metazoa; Arthropoda; Branchiopoda; Diplostraca; Daphniidae. The record is from RNAcentral.
UAUCCGUGUCUAGUCUCCACAGUCCACAGUGCAUAUCUCUCUCCGUUGCAGUAGUGUAGUGUGUCGAGUUCAGAAAAAAAGUUUGACUGUGUCUGUCAAGAGAGUUGCUACAGGCAGUUGUUUAUUUGAAUUCUCGAAAACUGAACCAUCAUGACUAAUAAUGAAAAAACUAGAGAUCUCGGCGUGGUUAUGCAGAAAGCUAGAACUGCAUUCGCAACGGGUAAGACUCGCGAUGUAAAUUUUCGAAUUCGUCAACUGGAGAGCCUUCUCCGCAUGUAUGAAGAAAAUGAGGCAGAUUUGAUGAAUGCGCUGUAUAAGGACCUUCGCAAGCCGAAACCUGAAGCCAAGUUGAUGGAAAUUGAAGUUCUCAAAGGGGACGUGCGAACCAUGAUUCAGAAUUGCAAAGAGUGGUCAAAACCUCAACGGGUUCCUAAAACCCUCGUUACCAUGAUGGACACUCCCGUCAUUCUUCAAGAUCCAUAUGGAGUUGUUUUAGUUAUUGGAUCAUGGAACUAUCCCGUUCAGCUUUCACUUAUACCAGUUUCAGGAGCAAUCGCUGCCGGAAACUGUGUUAUUAUCAAGCCAUCGGAAAUUGCCCCGGCCUCGUCUAAAUUGUUAGAAGAGUUAAUUCCUCGUUACUUGGAUCAAGAAUGUUUUCAAGUCGUAACUGGGGGACCUUCAGACGUUCAAGAAUUACUAAAGCAAAAAUUUGAUUACAUUUUCUUUACGGGAUCGACAAAUAUCGGAAAAAUAGUUCGCGAGGCAGCCAACAAACACUUAACUCCAGUUACGUUAGAACUUGGAGGGAAAAGUCCCGUUUACGUUGAUGAGUCAGUUGAUAUGACAAUCGCUGCGCGUCGCAUCAUUUGGGGGAAAAUGGUUAACUGUGGGCAGACUUGCAUCGCCCCCGACUACAUUCUUUGCAAUAAAUCUACACGGGAUCGUUUGGUAGAUAAGAUUCGGGAAAUCUUGAUCGAGUGGUAUGGCCAGGACCCACAAAGUUCACCUGACCUCUGCCGAAUUGUAAAUGUUCGUCAUUUCCAACGUUUGCAAGCUAUGCUCGGCAGUGGCAAGGUAGCCAUUGGAGGCAAAAGUGACGCCGAUGACCUAUGGAUAGAGCCAACUGUGUUGAUUGACGUUAAGCCUACCGAUGCUGUGAUGCAAGAAGAGAUAUUUGGGCCAAUACUUCCAAUUGUGGAAGUUGAAAGUGCCUAUGAUGCAAUUCAGUUCAUCAACGCGCGGGAGAAGCCACUUAGCUUGUACAUCUUUUCUAAAAACAAGAAAAUAACCAAUCUUUUCACGGGGAAUACAAGCUGUGGCUCAAUUUGUGUCAAUGAUACAAUGGUGCAAUUUUCAGUGGAAGAAUUGCCAUUUGGGGGUGUUGGUGCUAGCGGGAUAGGCGCUUACCAUGGAAAAUAUAGUUUCGACACCUUCACGCACAAGAAAUCUUGUUUAAUCCGGUCCUUUGACAAGAUGGGAGAGGCGCUCGGAAAAGAUCGCUAUCCUCCUUAUACGGAUGAAAAAAUCCGACGGUUAAUUUUUCUUCUUAAAAAACGCGAAUUACCCAGUCUUCGCUUUGUUCCUUAUGUAGCCAGUUUUGCCUUAGGCGUGGCUUCUGCCGUACUUGUGCGCUAUCUUGCCAAGUUAUGGGCAAGUUCCCAUCUCUACAAAAUGGUUCGAAAAAUCCAGCAUUGAGUUGACGAUAUCCUCCCAAUGCACAUCCUGACUUACACAGUAAUACCUAUUUUCCCUCUACGAACGUUGCCGCGACUUUUUUUUUUUUUUUUUUACUUUACUUUACUUUAUUAUAUCUACCGUGCCAUCUUUACCAACUGUAGUCUAGUCAAAGUUUCUGUUGGUGAAAACAGCGUCGUUUAUUUAGAAAUCAAGGAAUUGGGUUUCGAAGAUAAGUUACCUGAUGUUAUGGGUUAAUAACCAGUGGACCAGUUAUUCUGAGUUUGGAGUAUCGCAAGACUUCUUCUAGACUAUUGGUGUCCUUCUACAUAAAAGAUUAUUAUGAUUCCAUAUAGUCCCCCUUUAUUGGUUCUUCAUAGUUUUCGUUUCUAUUGGGAAUACAUAUACAUUACUUGUUACUUAUUAA